UACGAAGGGGGCUAGCGUUGCUCGGAAUCACUGGGCGUAAAGGGUGCGUAGGCGGGUCUUUAAGUCAGGGGUGAAAUCCUGGAGCUCAACUCCAGAACUGCCUUUGAUACUGAGGAUCUUGAGUUCGGGAGAGGUGAGUGGAACUGCGAGUGUAGAGGUGAAAUUCGUAGAUAUUCGCAAGAACACCAGUGGCGAAGGCGGCUCACUGGUCCGAUACUGACGCUGAGGCACGAAAGCGUGGGGAGCAAACAGG
Molecule: ribosomal RNA, 253 nt
Filed under: uncultured bacterium
Lineage: Bacteria
Description: partial 16S ribosomal RNA
Rfam family: Bacterial small subunit ribosomal RNA
Source: RNAcentral